Erinaceus europaeus (western European hedgehog) is the source of this 73-nucleotide non-coding RNA. Lineage: Eukaryota; Metazoa; Chordata; Mammalia; Eulipotyphla; Erinaceidae. The record is from Rfam.
GCCCGGCUAGCUCAGUCGGUAGAGCAUGAGACUCUUAAUAUCAGGGUCGUGGGUUCAUGCCCCACGUUGGGCG